This 729-nucleotide ribosomal RNA is filed under the name uncultured bacterium. Its description in RNAcentral is "bacterial SSU rRNA". It matches the Rfam family "Bacterial small subunit ribosomal RNA", at positions 182 to 913 of the family's 1533-position model. The record is from RNAcentral.
GGAGAGGCAUCUCUCCGGGUUGAAAACUCCGGUGGUUAUAGAUGGACAUGCGUUGUAUUAGCUAGUUGGUGAGGUAACGGCUCACCAAGGCAACGAUACAUAGGGGGACUGAGAGGUUAACCCCCCACACUGGUACUGAGACACGGACCAGACUCCUACGGGAGGCAGCAGUGAGGAAUAUUGGUCAAUGGACGCAAGUCUGAACCAGCCAUGCCGCGUGCAGGAAGACGGCUCUAUGAGUUGUAAACUGCUUUUGUACGAGGGUAAACUCACCUACGUGUAGGUGACUGAAAGUAUCGUACGAAUAAGGAUCGGCUAACUCCGUGCCAGCAGCCGCGGUAAUACGGAGGAUUCAAGCGUUAUCCGGAUUUAUUGGGUUUAAAGGGUGCGUAGGCGGUUUGAUAAGUUAGAGGUGAAAUCCCGGGGCUUAACUCCGGAACUGCCUCUAAUACUGUUAGACUAGAGAGUAGUUGCGGUAGGCGGAAUGUAUGGUGUAGCGGUGAAAUGCUUAGAGAUCAUACAGAACACCGAUUGCGAAGGCAGCUUACCAAACUAUAUCUGACGUUGAGGCACGAAAGCGUGGGGAGCAAACAGGAUUAGAUACCCUGGUAGUCCACGCAGUAAACGAUGAUAACUCGUUGUCGGCGAUACACAGUCGGUGACUAAGCGAAAGCGGUAAGUUAUCCACCUGGGGAGUACGUUCGCAAGAAUGCAACUCAAAGGAAUUGA